This 1590-nucleotide ribosomal RNA is filed under the name Triticum aestivum (bread wheat). RNAcentral's name for it is "partial small subunit ribosomal RNA". The record is from RNAcentral. Lineage: Eukaryota; Viridiplantae; Streptophyta; Magnoliopsida; Poales; Poaceae.
AUGGCCGCUGCUGUAAAAACAAGCGGUGGUUUCUGUAACACACAGCAGCAGUGGCUACACUCAACGAGAGAUCUGUUUUUACAUGGAUCCACUCAUUCAAAUGCCAAAGAAUGCAAAAGCAAGAAGGCAAAAAAGCCCACUUCACUGCGUGUGAAAGCUACUUCCACGAAAGUGGAAUUAGAUUUUAAUGAUCCAUCUUGGAAGCAGAACUUUCAAGAAGACUGGGAUAAUCGUUUUAAUCUGCCACGUAUUACAGAUAUAUAUGACUUGAAACCAAGGCCAACUACAUUCUCACUCAAGAAACAGAGAACUCCUACUGGUGAUGAAGAUAGUACACCUAUGGAUAUGUGGAAUGGUUACGUGAACAAUGAUGACCGAGCGCUUAUGAAGGUGAUAAAGUAUUCGUCGCCUACUUCUGCUGGAGCAGAGUGCAUUGAUCCUGACUGUAGCUGGGUGGAGCAAUGGGUGCAUCGUGCAGGGCCUCGUAAGGAUAUAUACUAUGAGCCAAAUGAAGUAAAAGCUGCUAUAGUUACUUGUGGAGGUCUCUGCCCUGGUUUGAAUGAUGUCAUCAGACAGGUAGUAUUCACCCUAGAGACAUAUGGGGUUAAGAAUAUUGUUGGAAUUCCAUUUGGUUUUCGUGGAUUUUUUGAAAAAGGUCUAAAAGAAAUGCCUCUUUCACGUAAUCUAGUGGAGAAUAUUAACCUUGCUGGUGGAAGUUUUCUAGGAGUCUCCCGUGGAGGAGCUAAAACUAGUGAAAUUGUAGAUAGUAUACAGGCCAGAAGAAUUGAUAUGCUUUUUGUACUUGGUGGAAAUGGUACCCAUGCAGGAGCAAAUGCUAUCCAUGAUGAGUGCCGUAAAAGAAAGCUCAAGGUUUCUGUUGUAGCAGUUCCAAAGACCAUUGACAAUGAUAUACCUUUAAUGGACAAAACAUUUGGUUUUGAUACCGCUGUGGAAGAAGCUCAACGGGCCAUUAAUUCUGCCUAUAUAGAGGCACGUAGUGCGUAUCAUGGUAUCGGCUUGGUCAAAUUAAUGGGAAGAAGCAGUGGUUUCAUUGCAAUGCAUGCUUCUCUUUCGAGUGGGCAGGUUGAUGUCUGCUUAAUACCAGAGGUCUCAUUCGCGCUCGAUGGAGAAUAUGGUGUUUUACAGCACCUCGAGCAGUUAAUAAAGAACAAGGGAUUCUGUGUGGUUUGCGUUGCUGAAGCUGCAGGACAAGAGUUACUGCAAAACUCAGGCGCAACUGAUGCAUCAGGAAAUACAAUACUUAGCGACAUUGGUGUUCACAUGCAACAAAAGAUCAAGACGCAUUUCAAGGGCAUCGGUGUCCAUGCUGAUAUAAAAUACAUCGACCCGACGUACAUGGUCCGGGCUUGUCGUGCCAAUGCGUCCGAUGCGAUUCUGUGCACCGUGCUUGGGCAAAAUGCCGUCCAUGGAGCGUUUGCCGGGUUCAGUGGCAUCACUUCCUGCAUCUGCAACACUCACUAUGUGUACCUUCCGGUCACGCAAGUCAUCACGGCACCGAAGCGUGUAAACCAUAAGGGCAGGAUGUGGCACCGUUGCCUCACGUCCACAGGCCAGCCGGACUUCCGCUGA